Molecule: ribosomal RNA, 373 nt
Filed under: uncultured bacterium
Lineage: Bacteria
Description: bacterial SSU rRNA
Rfam family: Bacterial small subunit ribosomal RNA
Source: RNAcentral
ACGGAGGGUGCAAGCGUUAAUCGGAAUUACUGGGCGUAAAGCGUGCGUAGGCGGCUCGUUAAGUCAGAUGUGAAAGCCCCGGGCUUAACCUGGGAACUGCAUUUGAAACUGGCGCGCUAGAGUUGAGUAGAGGUAAGUGGAAUUUCAGGUGUAGCGGUGAAAUGCGUAGAUAUCUGAAGGAACACCAGUGGCGAAGGCGACUUACUGGACUCAAACUGACGCUGAGGUACGAAAGCGUGGGUAGCAAACAGGAUUAGAUACCCUGGUAGUCCACGCCGUAAACGAUGUCAACUAGCCGUUGGUCCUAUUUACAGGAUUAGUGGCGCAGCUAACGCAUUAAGUUGACCGCCUGGGGAGUACGGCCGCAAGGUUA